This 73-nucleotide transfer RNA is filed under the name Ovis aries (sheep). It matches the Rfam family "tRNA". Rfam says of the family: Transfer RNA (tRNA) molecules are approximately 80 nucleotides in length. Their secondary structure includes four short double-helical elements and three loops (D, anti-codon, and T loops). The record is from Rfam by way of RNAcentral. Lineage: Eukaryota; Metazoa; Chordata; Mammalia; Artiodactyla; Bovidae.
UCCUCGACCGUUCAGUGGUCAAGACUCUGCACUUCCAAUGCAGACGGCUCUGGUUUGAUCCCUGAUUGGGGAA